AGAACUCUAAAAGACAUCAUAAACAGUCCUUAUGCGCCUGAGUAUGACAUUGCUGGCAUUACGGACCCUUUUCUCCAUAUCAGAUUGCUUAAACUUUUGCGCAUGCUAGGCCAAGGAGAUGCUGAUGCUAGUGACACUAUGAAUGAUGUACUUGCACAGGUGGCAACAAAAGCUGAGUCAAACAAAAACGCUGGGAAUGCUAUUUUAUAUGAAUGUGUGGAAACUAUCAUGAGUAUUGAAGAUAAUGGUGGUUUACGAGUGCUUGCUAUUAACAUCUUGGGAAGAUUCUUGUCAAACCGUGACAACAAUAUCAGAUAUGUUGCAUUGAACAUGCUGAUGAAGGCCAUUACUGUAGAUGCUCAAGCAGUGCAAAGGCAUCGGGCAACAAUCUUGGAAUGUGUUAAGGAUUCAGAUGCUUCAAUCCGUAAAAGAGCCCUUGAACUUGUUUACCUUCUAGUGAAUGAAAGCAAUGUAAAGCCUUUGACAAAAGAGCUAAUUGAAUAUUUGGAAGUAAGUGAUCAAGAAUUUAAGGGAGAGCUUACUACCAAAGUUUGCUCCAUUGUUGAAAAGUUCUCCCCUGAGAAAAUUUGGUAUAUUGAUCAGAUGCUCAAGGUUCUUAUUGAGGCUGGAAAUUUUGUAAAAGAUGAAGUGUGGCAU
Molecule: unclassified non-coding RNA, 657 nt
Filed under: Hevea brasiliensis (rubber tree)
Lineage: Eukaryota; Viridiplantae; Streptophyta; Magnoliopsida; Malpighiales; Euphorbiaceae
Source: RNAcentral